RNAcentral lists this ribosomal RNA (253 nucleotides) under uncultured bacterium. RNAcentral describes it as "partial 16S ribosomal RNA". It matches the Rfam family "Bacterial small subunit ribosomal RNA", at positions 524 to 776 of the family's 1533-position model. The record is from RNAcentral.
UACGUAGGGUGCGAGCGUUGUCCGGAAUUACUGGGCGUUAAGCGCUCGUAGGUGGUUUGUCGCGUUGGUCGUGAAAACCGGGGGCUUAACACUCGGCGUGCGGGCGAUACGGGCAGACUUGAGUACUGCAGGGGAGACUGGAAUUCCUGGUGUAGCGGUGGAAUGCGCAGAUAUCAGGAGGAACACCGGUGGCGAAGGCGGGUCUCUGGGCAGUAACUGACGCUGAGGAGCGAAAGCGUGGGGAGCGAACAGG